UAGCGUAUGUUAAAGUUGUUGCGGCUAAAAAGCUCGUAGUUGGAUUUCUGUUGAGGACGAGUGGUCCGCACUCUGUGCGCGCAUCUACUUUGGCCUCGGCAUCCGCUCUGCAUACGUGUCUGCGCUUAAUUGCGUGGUACGGAGGUAGGGCCUUUUACUUUGAGGAAAUUAGAGUGUUCACGGCAGGCAUCGCCUUGAAUAUGUUAGCAUGGAAUAAUAACAUAGGAUCCCGGUUCUAUUUUGUUGGUUUCUAGGGCUAGGAUAAUGAUUAAUAGGGACAAUUGGGGGCAUUCGUAUUGCGGCGUC
This 306-nucleotide ribosomal RNA is filed under the name Amoebophrya sp. RNAcentral's name for it is "SSU rRNA". It matches the Rfam family "Eukaryotic small subunit ribosomal RNA", at positions 595 to 906 of the family's 1831-position model. Lineage: Eukaryota; Dinophyceae; Syndiniales; Amoebophryaceae. The record is from RNAcentral.